This 806-nucleotide ribosomal RNA is filed under the name uncultured Pseudoalteromonas sp. Its description in RNAcentral is "bacterial SSU rRNA". It matches the Rfam family "Bacterial small subunit ribosomal RNA", at positions 58 to 860 of the family's 1533-position model. Lineage: Bacteria; Pseudomonadati; Pseudomonadota; Gammaproteobacteria; Alteromonadales; Pseudoalteromonadaceae. The record is from RNAcentral.
CAAGUCGAGCGGUAACAGAAAGUAGCUUGCUACUUUGCUGACGAGCGGCGGACGGGUGAGUAAUGCUUGGGAACAUGCCUUGAGGUGGGGGACAACAGUUGGAAACGACUGCUAAUACCGCAUAACGUCUACGGACCAAAGGGGGCUUCGGCUCUCGCCUUUAGAUUGGCCCAAGUGGGAUUAGCUAGUUGGUGAGGUAAUGGCUCACCAAGGCGACGAUCCCUAGCUGGUUUGAGAGGAUGAUCAGCCACACUGGGACUGAGACACGGCCCAGACUCCUACGGGAGGCAGCAGUGGGGAAUAUUGCACAAUGGGCGCAAGCCUGAUGCAGCCAUGCCGCGUGUGUGAAGAAGGCCUUCGGGUUGUAAAGCACUUUCAGUCAGGAGGAAAGGUUAGUAGUUAAUACCUGCUAGCUGUGACGUUACUGACAGAAGAAGCACCGGCUAACUCCGUGCCAGCAGCCGCGGUAAUACGGAGGGUGCGAGCGUUAAUCGGAAUUACUGGGCGUAAAGCGUACGCAGGCGGUUUGUUAAGCGAGAUGUGAAAGCCCCGGGCUCAACCUGGGAACUGCAUUUCGAACUGGCAAACUAGAGUGUGAUAGAGGGUGGUAGAAUUUCAGGUGUAGCGGUGAAAUGCGUAGAGAUCUGAAGGAAUACCGAUGGCGAAGGCAGCCACCUGGGUCAACACUGACGCUCAUGUACGAAAGCGUGGGGAGCAAACGGGAUUAGAUACCCCGGUAGUCCACGCCGUAAACGAUGUCUACUAGAAGCUCGGGUCCUCGGACUUGUUUUUCAAAGCUAACGCAU